RNAcentral lists this ribosomal RNA (117 nucleotides) under Gammaproteobacteria bacterium. The record is from RNAcentral. Lineage: Bacteria; Pseudomonadati; Pseudomonadota; Gammaproteobacteria.
CCUGGCGGCAACAGAGCGCUGGAUACCACCCGAUACCAUCCCGAACUCGGCAGUGAAACGGCGCAUCGCCGAUGGUAGUGCGGGGUCUCCCCGUGUGAGAGUAGGUCACUGUCAGGC